GGGUGGACAGGUGGUGGCAUGGUUGUCGUCAGCUCGUGUCGUGAGAUGUUCGGGUUAAGUCCCGCAACGAGCGCAACCCUCGACCUUAGUUGCCAGCAUUCAGUUGGGCACUCCAAGGUGACUGCCGGCUAAAAGUCGGAGGAAGGUGGGGAUGACGUCAAAUCAUCAUGCCCCUUAUGACCUGGGCUACACACGUGCUACAAUGGGCGGUACAAAGGGUCGCGAACCCGCGAGGGGGAGCCAAUCCCAAAAAGCCGCUCUCAGUUCGGAUUGCAGGCUGCAACUCGCCUGCAUGAAGCCGGAAUCGCUAGUAAUCGCGGAUCAGCAUGCCGCGGUGAAUAUGUUCCCGGGCCUU
Molecule: ribosomal RNA, 355 nt
Filed under: uncultured Anoxybacillus sp.
Lineage: Bacteria; Bacillati; Bacillota; Bacilli; Caryophanales; Anoxybacillaceae
Description: bacterial SSU rRNA
Rfam family: Bacterial small subunit ribosomal RNA
Source: RNAcentral